GACGAACGCUGGCGGCGUGCUUAACACAUGCAAGUCGAACGGCAAGGCCCUGCUUUCGUGGGGUGCUCGAGUGGCGAACGGGUGAGUAACACGUGAGUAACCUGCCCUUGACUUUGGGAUAACUUCAGGUAACUGGGGCUACUACCGGAUAGGAGCUCCUGUUGCAUGGUGGGGGUUGGAAAGUUUCGGCGGUUGGGGAUGGACUCGCGGCUUAUCAGCUUGUUGGUGGGGGAGUGGCUUACCAAGGCUUUGACGGGUAGCCGGCCUGAGAGGGUGACCGGCCACAUUGGUACUGAGGUACGGCCCAGACGCGUACGGGGGGCAGCAGUGGGGAAUAUUGCACAAUGGGCGGGAGCCUGAUGCAGCAACGCCGCGUGCGGGAUGACGGCCUUCGGGUUGUAAACCGCUUUCGCCUGUGACGAAGCGUGAGUGACGGUAAUGGGUAAAGAAGCACCGGCUAACUACGUG
Molecule: ribosomal RNA, 468 nt
Filed under: uncultured bacterium
Lineage: Bacteria
Description: partial 16S ribosomal RNA
Rfam family: Bacterial small subunit ribosomal RNA
Source: RNAcentral